RNAcentral lists this ribosomal RNA (694 nucleotides) under uncultured Lachnospiraceae bacterium. RNAcentral's name for it is "bacterial SSU rRNA". It matches the Rfam family "Bacterial small subunit ribosomal RNA", at positions 40 to 734 of the family's 1533-position model. The record is from RNAcentral. Lineage: Bacteria; Bacillati; Bacillota; Clostridia; Lachnospirales; Lachnospiraceae.
CGGCGUGCUUAACACAUGCAAGUCGAGCGAAGCGCUAAGACAGAUUUCUUCGGAUUGAAGUCUUUGUGACUGAGCGGCGGACGGGUGAGUAACGCGUGGGUAACCUGCCUCAUACAGGGGGAUAACAGUUAGAAAUGACUGCUAAUACCGCAUAAGCGCACAGGACCGCAUGGUCUGGUGUGAAAAACUCCGGUGGUAUGAGAUGGACCCGCGUCUGAUUAGCUAGUUGGAGGGGUAACGGCCCACCAAGGCGACGAUCAGUAGCCGGCCUGAGAGGGUGAACGGCCACAUUGGGACUGAGACACGGCCCAGACUCCUACGGGAGGCAGCAGUGGGGAAUAUUGCACAAUGGGGGAAACCCUGAUGCAGCGACGCCGCGUGAAGGAAGAAGUAUCUCGGUAUGUAAACUUCUAUCAGCAGGGAAGAAAAUGACGGUACCUGACUAAGAAGCCCCGGCUAACUACGUGCCAGCAGCCGCGGUAAUACGUAGGGGGCAAGCGUUAUCCGGAUUUACUGGGUGUAAAGGGAGCGUAGACGGAAGAGCAAGUCUGAUGUGAAAGGCUGGGGCUUAACCCCAGGACUGCAUUGGAAACUGUUGUUCUAGAGUGCCGGAGAGGUAAGCGGAAUUCCUAGUGUAGCGGUGAAAUGCGUAGAUAUUAGGAGGAACACCAGUGGCGAAGGCGGCUUACUGGAC